AUUGAACGCUGGCGGCAUGCCUUACACAUGCAAGUCGAACGGCAGCGCGGACUUCGGUCUGGCGGCGAGUGGCGAACGGGUGAGUAAUACAUCGGAACGUACCCUGUUGUGGGGGAUAACUAGUCGAAAGAUUAGCUAAUACCGCAUACGACCUGAGGGUGAAAGUGGGGGAUCGCAAGGCCUCACGCAGCAGGAGCGGCCGAUGUCUGAUUAGCUAGUUGGUGGGGUAAAGGCCCACCAAGGCGACGAUCAGUAGCUGGUCUGAGAGGACGAUCAGCCACACUGGGACUGAGACACGGCCCAGACUCCUACGGGAGGCAGCAGUGGGGAAUUUUGGACAAUGGGGGCAACCCUGAUCCAGCAAUGCCGCGUGUGUGAAGAAGGCCUUCGGGUUGUAAAGCACCUUUGUCCGGAAAGAAAUCGCGCUGGUUAAUACCUGGCGUGGAUGACGGUACCGGAAGAAUAAGCACCGGCUAACUACGUG
Molecule: ribosomal RNA, 484 nt
Filed under: uncultured bacterium
Lineage: Bacteria
Description: partial 16S ribosomal RNA
Rfam family: Bacterial small subunit ribosomal RNA
Source: RNAcentral